UGGGGAAUCUUGCGCAAUGGGCGAAAGCCUGACGCAGCGACGCCGCGUGGGUGACGAAGGCCUUCGGGUUGUAAAGCCCUGUGGGGGGAGACGAACCGGGUCGUGGCUAAUAUCCACGGUCCUUGACGGUAUCCCUUUAGCAAGCAUCGGCUAACUCUGUGCCAGCAGCCGCGGUAAGACAGAGGAUGCAAACGUUGCUCGGAAUUACUGGGCGUAAAGCGCGCGCAGGUGGUCCGGUAAGUCGGGUGUGAAAUCCCGGGGCUCAACCUCGGAAGUGCACUCGAUACUGCUAGACUUGAGUACUGGAGAGGAGAGCGGAAUUCCCGGUGUAGAGGUGAAAUUCGUAGAUAUCGGGAGGAACACCAGUGGCGAAGGCGGCUCUCUGGACAGAUACUGACACUGAGGCGCGAAAGCGUGGGAAGCAAACAGG
RNAcentral lists this ribosomal RNA (430 nucleotides) under uncultured bacterium. Its description in RNAcentral is "bacterial SSU rRNA". It matches the Rfam family "Bacterial small subunit ribosomal RNA", at positions 355 to 776 of the family's 1533-position model. The record is from RNAcentral.